Molecule: unclassified non-coding RNA, 148 nt
Organism: Pongo abelii (Sumatran orangutan)
Lineage: Eukaryota; Metazoa; Chordata; Mammalia; Primates; Hominidae
Rfam family: Metazoan signal recognition particle RNA
About the family: The signal recognition particle (SRP) is a universally conserved ribonucleoprotein. It is involved in the co-translational targeting of proteins to membranes. The eukaryotic SRP consists of a 300-nucleotide 7S RNA and six proteins: SRPs 72, 68, 54, 19, 14, and 9.
Source: Ensembl
GCUGGGCGUGGUGGUGGGCGCCUGUAAUCCCAGCUACUCAGAAGGCUGAGGUGGGGGAAUCGCUUGAGCCCUGGAGGCAGAAGUUGCAGUGAGCUGAGAUCACGCCACUGUACUCCAGCCUGGGCAACAGAGCGAGACUCCAUCUCAA